This 218-nucleotide ribosomal RNA is filed under the name uncultured bacterium. RNAcentral's name for it is "partial 16S ribosomal RNA". It matches the Rfam family "Bacterial small subunit ribosomal RNA", at positions 1282 to 1500 of the family's 1533-position model. The record is from RNAcentral.
GCCAUCCCAGUUCGGAUCGCAGGCUGCAACCCGCCUGCGUGAAGUUGGAAUCGCUAGUAAUCGCGGAUCAGCAUGCCGCGGUGAAUACGUUCCCGGGCCUUGUACACACCGCCCGUCACACCAUGAGAGUCGGGAACACCCGAAGUCCGUAGCCUAACCGCAAGGGGGCGCGGCCGAAGGUGGGUUCGAUAAUUGGGGUGAAGUCGUAACAAGGUAUC